GACAGCCUUCAUUGAUGAUCAGCUUCUGACUUUCGUUCUUCUGAAUUUGCUGAAGCCAGAUGCCGUUCCUGAGAAGGGGA
Molecule: small nucleolar RNA, 80 nt
Filed under: Mus caroli (Ryukyu mouse)
Lineage: Eukaryota; Metazoa; Chordata; Mammalia; Rodentia; Muridae
Description: microRNA 677 (MGP_CAROLIEiJ_G0007070.1)
Rfam family: Small nucleolar RNA SNORD59
About the family: U59 belongs to the C/D class of snoRNA which contain the C (UGAUGA) and D (CUGA) box motifs. Most of the members of the box C/D family function in directing site-specific 2'-O-methylation of substrate RNAs.
Source: RNAcentral